AAAAGGGUUCCCACUUAUGAAUUGCAAAAACGACUUAGUUGGUGAGGAACUUUGAAGAAGAAAAGCAUAUAGUUAGACAAAGUUUGUAGUCCAAAAAGACAUUCCAUGGCACACUUCAAAUAGGUUGGUGACAUUGGUGCUACUAAUUUACUAGCAAAGAUACCAACAAAAGGAAAUUAAUGAGGUGCAUAUUUGUGGAGUGACAAAGUUAACAGAAGUAUUGAAUUUACAGGACAAGUAGGUGAAAGUGAAAUUUCAUACUACAAAGACAGCUUAUUGUAAAAAGAAAAAAUGUGGUCCAAUUGAUUCAAAAUUAAUUUUUUCAUGUAAUAGGCUUGUCAUUACACCUAAUUGGUAAAUGAAGAAGAAAAACUCUGCUCUAUGGGGCCAUGAAAUUCUCCAGAUUCUUUGCAUUGCCUUGUAUAACAAAUAAAAUCUCUAUCUGCUUCUCCCAUAAUUGGUAGUGACAUUACCUAACACUCUUAUAUUAAAAUGUAACCAUUUUCUUAAAUCAUUAAAAUUAUAUGGAAAGCCAGAGCGGACUAAGCAAACAGAUUCUCCAACUGUCUUCCAACUACAUUGAAAGUUUUACUUAAUUAAGCAAGAAUAUUAUACAACAUAUAUUGUUGUUAGCCCAAAUCCUUCCUCUUAUUCUUCUUCUUCAAAUGGAAGAAAUAUGCACGCGCAGUAAGAAGAAGGAUUGAUUUAUUUAAUUGAAUGGGACAUAAUCUCAUACUUCAGAAAAAGAUAAUACAAAGUGGGGCACAAUCCCUAUCAAGAAUUGCCAUGUGGGCGUUAAGUGGAAGAUGGGCGGCUUACAGUGAAAACUUGACAGGAAAAACAUAUGCGGUUGUCUUGUAUUAUUAAGCUAACUUAACAGCAAUAGAGGAUAGUCAAUUUUUCUUUUUGUAAAAACAAAAAAGGGUGAAUAAAACAAAGCACUAACUUUCAGAAGCAAAAUCUAGAUAUAAAAAAUUGCCGACCAGAGUUCCUUUUGACAGUGGUUUAGAAUCAGCUAAGGCUGUUGGAGUUCUUCACGUCACCUUAUAUAUACAAAUAAUGUAUAAUUGAUAUUUCACUAUCAUGGCUUUAAGCAUUUCAUAGAGGGUGGGAGUCUUAGAAUAUUUAUAUAAUUGAUGUUUCAUUGUCAUGGCUUUCAUGAAGGGUGUGAGUGUGGAACCGCGUAGCAUAGAAUUUGAUUACUGUCCUGA
Molecule: long non-coding RNA, 1211 nt
Filed under: Nicotiana benthamiana
Lineage: Eukaryota; Viridiplantae; Streptophyta; Magnoliopsida; Solanales; Solanaceae
Description: long non-coding RNA (NBEN_LNC029215)
Source: RNAcentral